This 492-nucleotide ribosomal RNA is filed under the name uncultured bacterium. RNAcentral describes it as "partial 16S ribosomal RNA". It matches the Rfam family "Bacterial small subunit ribosomal RNA", at positions 29 to 507 of the family's 1533-position model. The record is from RNAcentral.
AUUGAACGCUGGCGGCAUGCUUUACACAUGCAAGUCGAACGGUAACAGGCCUUCGGGUGCUGACGAGUGGCGAACGGGUGAGUAAUGCAUCGGAACGUACCCAGAGGUGGGGGAUAACGCAGCGAAAGCUGUGCUAAUACCGCAUGUGAUCUGAGGAUGAAAGCGGGGGACCGAGCAGCAAUGUUUGGCCUCGCGCCUUUGGAGCGGCCGAUGUCGGAUUAGCUAGUUGGUGGGGUAAAGGCCUACCAAGGCGACGAUCCGUAGCUGGUCUGAGAGGACGAACAGCCAAACUGGGACUGAGACACGGCCCAGACUCCUACGGGAGGCAGCAGUGGGGAAUUUUGGACAAUGGGCGCAAGCCUGAUCCAGCAAUGCCGCGUGCGGGAAGAAGGCCUUCGGGUUGUAAACCGCUUUUGGCAGGAACGAAACGGUGUCCGCUAAUACCGGGCGCUAAUGACGGUACCUGCAGAAUAAGCACCGGCUAACUACGUG